CACGGAGUUAGCCGAUGCUUUUUCUUCGGAUACACGCAGUCCGGGACACGUCCCGGGUUUUGUUCUCCGACAAAAGAGGUUUACAACCCAUAGGGCCGUCUUCCCUCACGCGGCUUGACUGGUUCAGGAUCUCUCCCAUUGACCAAUAUUCCUCACUGCUGCCUCCCGUAGGAGUCUGGUCCGUGUCUCAGUACCAGUGUGGGGGACCUUCCUCUCAGAACCCCUACGCAUCGUCGCCACGGUGGGCCGUUACCCCGCCGUCAAGCUAAUGCGCCGCAUGCCCAUCCUCUUCCGAUGAAUCUUUCCUCGAUCUCGGAUGCCCGAAACCGAUAUACGCGGGAUUAGCCUCCCUUUCGGAAGGUUGUCCCCCUGAAGAGGGCAGGUUGCAUACGUGUUACUCACCCGUGCGCCGGUCGCCGGCAAGGAAAGCAAGCUUCCCUCCCGAUGCCCCUCGACUUGCAUGUGUUAAGCCUGCCGCUAGCGUUCAUCCUGAGCCAGGAUCAAACUCU
This 509-nucleotide ribosomal RNA is filed under the name uncultured Bacteroidales bacterium. RNAcentral's name for it is "partial 16S ribosomal RNA". The record is from RNAcentral. Lineage: Bacteria; Pseudomonadati; Bacteroidota; Bacteroidia; Bacteroidales.